Potamilus streckersoni is the source of this 77-nucleotide non-coding RNA. Lineage: Eukaryota; Metazoa; Mollusca; Bivalvia; Unionida; Unionidae. The record is from the annotation of a GenBank genome assembly.
GACCUCUCCGGUGGACUAGUGGUUAAAGCGUCCGCCUCGGAUGCGGGUGAUCGUGGGUUCGAUCCCCAGCUGAGUCA